UACGGGGGGGGCAAGCGUUGUUCGGAAUUACUGGGCGUAAAGGGUUCGUAGGUGGCUUGCUAAGUCAGACGUGAAAUCCCUCAGCUUAACUGGGGAACUGCGUCUGAGACUGGCAAGCUUGAGUGCAGGAGAGGAACGCGGAAUUCCAGGUGUAGCGGUGAAAUGCGUAGAUAUCGGGAAGAACACCCGUGGCGAAGGCGGCCCCCUGGGCCGAACCUGACGCUGAGGCGCGAAGGCUAGGGGAGCGAACGGG
This 253-nucleotide ribosomal RNA is filed under the name uncultured bacterium. RNAcentral describes it as "partial 16S ribosomal RNA". It matches the Rfam family "Bacterial small subunit ribosomal RNA", at positions 524 to 776 of the family's 1533-position model. The record is from RNAcentral.